RNAcentral lists this ribosomal RNA (323 nucleotides) under uncultured eukaryote. RNAcentral describes it as "partial 18S ribosomal RNA". It matches the Rfam family "Eukaryotic small subunit ribosomal RNA", at positions 1470 to 1796 of the family's 1831-position model. The record is from RNAcentral.
CCCUUAGGUGUUCUGGGCUGCACGCGUGCUACACUGAUAUUGCCAAUAUGUCAUUCUUAUCCGAAAUGGAUUGGGUAAUCAAGUAAUGAAAUUUCAUGCUUGGAAUCGGUAAUUGCAAUUUUAUCGUGAACGAGGAAUUCCUAGUAAGCACUAGUCAUCAGCUAAUGUUGAUUAUGUCCCUGCCCUUUGUACACACCGCCCGUCGCUACUACUGAUUGGGUGUUCAAGUGAGAUGCUUAGACCCUUGUUGCAUGGUUCAUUAUUGUGCUCCGAAAGGAAAAAGUUUCAAGCUUGAGUGUCUAGAGGAAGUAAAAGUCGUAACA